GACGAACGCUGGCGGCGUGCCUGAUACAUGCAAGUCGAACGCUGAAGGCUGGUAUUUGUACCGUGUGUGUGUGGCGAGCGGGUGAGUAUCACGUGUGUAACCUGCGCUUUAGAGUGGGGUACCACCUUGGGACACGAAUUAAUACCCCGUAUAAACACUUUCUGCAUGAUGUUUGUGUUUGAAAGUCGCCAUUUCAUCACUCACAGAUGACUCAGCGUUGUAUUCGCUAGUUGGUGGGGUAAAGGCGCACCAAGGCGAUGACGCAUAGCCGACGUGAGAGGGUGAGCGGCCACACUGGGACUGAGACACGGCCCAUACUCAUACGGGAGGCAGCAGUAGGGAAACUUCGGCAAGGGACGGAAGUCUGACCGAGCAACGCCGCGUGAGUGAAGAAGGUUUUCGGAUCGGAAAACUCUGUUGGUAGAGAAGAACGCGGGUGAGAGUGGAAAGCUCAUCAAGUGACGGUAACUACCCAGAAAGGGACGGCUAACUACGUG
Molecule: ribosomal RNA, 497 nt
Filed under: uncultured bacterium
Lineage: Bacteria
Description: partial 16S ribosomal RNA
Rfam family: Bacterial small subunit ribosomal RNA
Source: RNAcentral